CUAGCUACUUUCAUUACCAUCAUCUUCUAGGUAGCUGUAACUACUUGUCUAUAAAAAAAAGACCAUCACCUUCAUCAAAAUCAUCACAAGACAUAUAAGAAAAAACUUUCUUCAUUCAACUCUGAAACAACAAGUAUCUUCAAAUUAAUUAUCUCCAAAUUUUCACUUUUCAUCUCCAGAUUCGACGACGGACUAAAGCAAUUUCUUUGUAACAAUUUUGCAUGAUUUCAGUUAGGUUGCUUGAUUUUCUUGCGGUAAUCGCGCGUUUAUAUAUCUCAACAACCACAUUUGUUGGGAUUUCGGUUCCUGAAACCAAAUUUGCCAAGAUUUUGUUGCUUGAUCUGGAACUAAGCUUCCCAAACAUAUCCACUCCAUUUGACUUGGGAUUCUAACAAAACCGACUCUGAGGGAAAAAUGCUGGUUAAUUUAGCACCAAAGCGGGGGACAGGAACAGGAAAAGCAACACGAAGUUCAUUUUGUCACAAGUUGUCUUCGUAAUUAUUGGUAUGAGCGCACUCGGAAAUGCAUAGGCCAGUCAGCGUCCUUCAAUCCAACAGAUAACGACUUUCCCCAGAACCUUCUACAAUUAAUACCAGAACCAAUUCCAGGGAAAGUCCGAUUUCCAAAUACCAACAAGAAGAGGAAGGAAAUAUCUAAGUUACUAAUCUUCAUGUAAUAUCUCCAUAUAUGUUUCAAAAAGAAGAAAAGAAAAUGUAAUAUCUCCAUAUGAGCGGACACAGAAAAUCAAGCUAAUGAAAAUUAAGUUGCAUUUUACAGUUUUA
Long non-coding RNA from Papaver somniferum (opium poppy), 782 nucleotides. RefSeq lists it as uncharacterized. NCBI's taxonomy places the organism in Eukaryota, Viridiplantae, Streptophyta, Magnoliopsida, Ranunculales, Papaveraceae. The record is from RefSeq and is a predicted model, not a curated record. The transcript has 2 exons.